GCCCCGGUAGCUUAGCCUGGUUAGAGCGUCUCACUGGUAAUGAGAAGGUCCCGGGUUCGAAUCCCGGCCGGGGCU
This 75-nucleotide transfer RNA is filed under the name Candidatus Freyarchaeota archaeon. Its description in RNAcentral is "tRNA-Thr". It matches the Rfam family "tRNA". Rfam says of the family: Transfer RNA (tRNA) molecules are approximately 80 nucleotides in length. Their secondary structure includes four short double-helical elements and three loops (D, anti-codon, and T loops). The record is from RNAcentral. Lineage: Archaea; Promethearchaeati; Candidatus Freyarchaeota.